UAGGGUGACUGGCCAUCAUGGUUUGCCUGGGACUGAGAGAUUCCUGGGACAUGGGACAUUCAGGACCCAAACUGG
This 75-nucleotide microRNA precursor is filed under the name Choloepus hoffmanni (Hoffmann's two-fingered sloth). RNAcentral's name for it is "miRNA (ENSCHOG00000014035.1)". The record is from RNAcentral. Lineage: Eukaryota; Metazoa; Chordata; Mammalia; Pilosa; Megalonychidae.